UACGAAGGGGGCUAGCGUUGUUCGGAAUUACUGGGCGUAAAGCGCGCGUAGGCGGUUUAGUAAGUUGGAUGUGAAAUCCCUAGGCUCAACCUAGGAAUUGCAUUCAAGACUGCUGAGCUAGAUGCCUGGAGAGGAGAGUGGAAUUCCCAGUGUAGAGGUGAAAUUCGUAGAUAUUGGGAAGAACACCAGUGGCGAAGGCGGCUCUCUGGCCAGGUUAUGGCGCUGAGGCGCGAAAGUGUGGGGAGCAAACAGG
This 253-nucleotide ribosomal RNA is filed under the name uncultured bacterium. RNAcentral's name for it is "partial 16S ribosomal RNA". It matches the Rfam family "Bacterial small subunit ribosomal RNA", at positions 524 to 776 of the family's 1533-position model. The record is from RNAcentral.